GACGAACGCUGGCGGCGUGCCUAAUACAUGCAAGUCGAACGCUGAAGGAGGAGCUUGCUUCUCCGGAUGAGUUGCGGACGGGUGAGUAACGCGUAGGUAACCUGCCUGGUAGCGGGGGAUAACUAUUGGAAACGAUAGCUAAUACCGCAUAAGAGUAGAUGUCGCAUGACAUUUGCUUAAAAGGUGCAACUGCACCACUACCAGAUGGACCUGCGUUGUAUUAGCUAGUUGGUGAGGUAACGGCUCACCAAGGCAACGAUACAUAGCCGACCUGAGAGGGUGAUCGGCCACACUGGGACUGAGACACGGCCCAGACUCCUACGGGAGGCAGCAGUAGGGAAUCUUCGGCAAUGGACGGAAGUCUGACCGAGCAACGCCGCGUGAGUGAAGAAGGUUUUCGGAUCGUAAAGCUCUGUUGUAAGAGAAGAACGAGUGUGAGAGUGGAAAGUUCACACUGUGACGGUAUCUUACCAGAAAGGGACGGCUAACUACGUG
This 495-nucleotide ribosomal RNA is filed under the name uncultured bacterium. RNAcentral's name for it is "partial 16S ribosomal RNA". It matches the Rfam family "Bacterial small subunit ribosomal RNA", at positions 28 to 507 of the family's 1533-position model. The record is from RNAcentral.